GACACAAAAGAUUUUUCGAUCUCAAUUGGAUUACACCAAGGAUCAGUUAUAAGCCCUUACCUUUUUACAUUAGUUUUAGAUGAAUUGACGAAACAUAUACAAGAAAGUAUUCCUUGGUGCAUGAUGUUUGCGGAUGAUAUUGUUCUGAUAGAUGAGACGCGAGAAGGAGUCAAUAGAAAGCUAGAGCUUUGGAGAAGUACUCUAGAGUCAAAAGGCUUUAAGUUAAGUAGAACAAAGACAUAAUACAUGCAUUGCAAGUUCAGUGAAGGCCAAACUAGUGAUAGGGAAGGAGUUAGUUUGGUUGGAGUGGUACUGUCCCAAAGUAAUUACUUUAAAUAUCUCGGCUCAGUCCUUCAAAUAGAUGGGGGAUGUGAGGAGGAUGUUAGUCAUAGGAUUAAAGCCGGAUGGUUAAAGUGGAGACGUGCCACGGGAGUUUUAUGUGAUCGCAAGAUUCCCAAUAAGUUAAAAGGAAAAUUUUACCGUACAGCCAUAUGACCGGCUAUGUUAUAUGGCAGUGAGUGUUGGGCAUUGAAGGAGUCGUAUGCAUCUAAGAUAAGAGUUGCAGAGAUGAGAAUGUUAAGGUGGAUGAGUGGCCAUACUAGACUAGAUAAAGUCUGUAAUUAGAGUAUUAGAGAAAAGAUAGGAGUGGUACCAAUUGAGGAUAAGUUGAGAGAGGGGAGAUUGAGGUGGUUUGGUCAUAUGAAGUGUAGAUAUACGGAGGCUCCAGUUAGACAAGUAGAGCACAUUAGGUUAGAGGAUAGAAAGAAAAAAAAGGGGUAGACCUAAAUUGACUUGGAGGAGAGUAGUACAACAUGACCUAGAAGCAUUAUAAAUUUCUGAGGAUUUAACCCAAAAUCGUUUAGAGUGGAGAAAGCGAAUCCAUAUAGCCGACCCCAAAUUUUUGGGAUAAAGGCUUAGUUGAGUUGAGUUGAGUUGAGUUGAUAUUUAUCAAUGGCAGGAAAAAAAUUUACAAGAUCUUCACUCCCCUAACUUAAAUUUUUAGCUCUACCACCGCCUAUAAGACUAUAACAUAGUGUUUGAUCAUACUUAUUUGGAUUUCCAUGCUUUUAUGACAUUAUGUUUGUAUUGGUGUUUCAGGAAGAUUCAUAUUCAAUUAACUAAAACUGAAGAUGUGUUCAAGGUUUGUUGGCAAGCCAAAUAAAAUGGAGGUAUUGAUUGUACAUAACCAAUGUGCAAGGUUCUUCCUUAAUCCUUAUAUGAUAUAUCACUGCUGCAAGGAGGUUGCAAAUGGCAAUAUAGUGCGUUUUCGAUUCAUGGUAUGUUCAUUGUUAGGCAUUAAAUUAAGGUGAUAGCUGCCUGGUUGUGAUAUUAUUAUUAUUAUUUUCAUAAAUUUGGCCUGCUUUGCUUAGUACAACAAGGAUGGACAUGCUGAUAAAAAUGUUUUUUUUUUUUUCAUUAUUAUUAUUUGUGGAGUUCAAAUGUUAAGUACAAGACUGCAAUAAGAAAUCUUCAGCCCUUGUAGCUUUUAUCUCUUUCGAUU
Hevea brasiliensis (rubber tree) is the source of this 1501-nucleotide long non-coding RNA. RefSeq lists it as uncharacterized. Lineage: Eukaryota; Viridiplantae; Streptophyta; Magnoliopsida; Malpighiales; Euphorbiaceae. The record is from RefSeq and is a predicted model, not a curated record. The transcript is spliced from 2 exons.